Artibeus jamaicensis (Jamaican fruit-eating bat) is the source of this 163-nucleotide small nuclear RNA. RefSeq annotates it as U1 spliceosomal RNA. The record is from RefSeq and is a predicted model, not a curated record. Lineage: Eukaryota; Metazoa; Chordata; Mammalia; Chiroptera; Phyllostomidae. The transcript has a single exon.
AUACUUAUCUAGCAGGGGAGAUACCAUGAUCAUGAAGGUGGAUUUCCCAGGGUCAGGCUUAUCUGUUGCACUCUGGAUGUGCUGAGCCCUGCUCAUUUCCCCAAAUGUGGGAAACUCGACUGCAUAAUUUGUGGUAGUGGGGGCUGUGUUCAUGCUUCCUCCC